GCAUGUGUAGCUCAGUGGUAGAGCAUCAGUCUUGUAAACUGAAGGUCCACCGUUUGAUCCUGCGUUUUGGCA
Non-coding RNA from Brassica rapa (field mustard), 72 nucleotides. Lineage: Eukaryota; Viridiplantae; Streptophyta; Magnoliopsida; Brassicales; Brassicaceae. The record is from Rfam.